GUUGUAUGGUUAAGUGACUAAGCGUACACGGUGGAUGCCUUGGCAGUCAGAGGCGAUGAAAGACGUAGUAACUUGCGAUAAGCCCAGAUUAGGUAGUAACAACCAUUUGAGUCUGGGAUUUCUGAAUGGGGAAACCCACUUACAUAAGUAAGUAUCAUUAACUGAAUACAUAGGUUAAUGAGGCGAACCGGGGGAACUGAAACAUCUAAGUACCCCGAGGAAAAGAAAUCAACCGAGAUUCCGAAAGUAGCGGCGAGCGAAAUUGGACUAGCCCUUAAGCUUUACACGCGUUAGACGAACGGUCUGGAAAGUCCGACGAUACAGGGUGAUAGUCCCGUAGUUGACGACGUGUGUUCAGUGAAAUCGAGUAGGGCGGGACACGUGAUAUCCUGUCUGAAUAUGGGGGGACCAUCCUCCAAGGCUAAAUACUACUGACUGACCGAUAGUGAACCAGUACCGUGAGGGAAAGGCGAAAAGAACCCCUGUGAGGGGAGUGAAAUAGAACCUGAAACCGUGUACGUACAAGCAGUAGGAGCAGGCUUUGUCCUGUGACUGCGUACCUUUUGUAUAAUGGGUCAGCGACUUAUAUUCAGUGGCAAGGUUAACCAUCUAGGGGAGCCGUAGGGAAACCGAGUCUUAACUGGGCGUUCAGUCUCUGGAUAUAGACCCGAAACCAGGUGAUCUAGCCAUGGGCAGGUUGAAGGUUGAGUAACAUCAACUGGAGGACCGAACCGACUAAUGUUGAAAAAUUAGCGGAUGACUUGUGGCUAGGGGUGAAAGGCCAAUCAAACCUGGAGAUAGCUGGUUCUCCCCGAAAGCUAUUUAGGUAGCGCCUCGGACGAAUACUACUGGGGGUAGAGCACUGUUAAGGCUAGGGGGUCAUCCCGACUUACCAACCCUUUGCAAACUCCGAAUACCAGUAAGUACUAUCCGGGAGACACACGGCGGGUGCUAACGUCCGUCGUGGAGAGGGAAACAACCCAGACCGCCAGCUAAGGUCCCAAAUUACUACUAAGUGGGAAACGAUGUGGGAAGGCUCAGACAGCCAGGAUGUUGGCUUAGAAGCAGCCAUCAUUUAAAGAAAGCGUAAUAGCUCACUGGUCGAGUCGGCCUGCGCGGAAGAUGUAACGGGGCUAAGUAGUAAACCGAAGCUGCGGCAAUAUACUUUUGUAUAUUGGGUAGGGGAGCGUUCUGUAAGCGGUUGAAGGUGUGUGGUAACGCAUGCUGGACGUAUCAGAAGUGCGAAUGCUGACAUGAGUAACGAUAAAGGGGGUGAAAAACCUCCUCGCCGGAAGACCAAGGGUUCCUGUCCAACGUUAAUCGGGGCAGGGUAAGUCGACCCCUAAGGCGAGAGUCUUAACUGGGCGUUCAGUCUCUGGAUAUAGACCCGAAACCAGGUGAUCUAGCCAUGGGCAGGUUGAAGGUUGAGUAACAUCAACUGGAGGACCGAACCGACUAAUGUUGAAAAAUUAGCGGAUGACUUGUGGCUAGGGGUGAAAGGCCAAUCAAACCUGGAGAUAGCUGGUUCUCCCCGAAAGCUAUUUAGGUAGCGCCUCGGACGAAUACUACUGGGGGUAGAGCACUGUUAAGGCUAGGGGGUCAUCCCGACUUACCAACCCUUUGCAAACUCCGAAUACCAGUAAGUACUAUCCGGGAGACACACGGCGGGUGCUAACGUCCGUCGUGGAGAGGGAAACAACCCAGACCGCCAGCUAAGGUCCCAAAUUACUACUAAGUGGGAAACGAUGUGGGAAGGCUCAGACAGCCAGGAUGUUGGCUUAGAAGCAGCCAUCAUUUAAAGAAAGCGUAAUAGCUCACUGGUCGAGUCGGCCUGCGCGGAAGAUGUAACGGGGCUAAGUAGUAAACCGAAGCUGCGGCAAUGUGCUUUUGCACAUUGGGUAGGGGAGCGUUCUGUAAGCGGUUGAAGGUGUGUGGUAACGCAUGCUGGACGUAUCAGAAGUGCGAAUGCUGACAUGAGUAACGAUAAAGGGGGUGAAAAACCUCCUCGCCGGAAGACCAAGGGUUCCUGUCCAACGUUAAUCGGGGCAGGGUAAGUCGACCCCUAAGGCGAGGCCGAAAGGCGUAGUCGAUGGGAAACGGGUUAAUAUUCCCGUACUUCUUACAAUUGCGAUGGGGGGACGGAGAAGGCUAGGUGGGCCUGGCGACGGUUGUCCAGGUUCAAGUGCGUAGGCUUAAGAGUUAGGUAAAUCCGGCUCUUUUUAAGGCUGAGACACGACGUCGAGCUACUACGGUAGUGAAGUCAUUGAUGCCAUGCUUCCAGGAAAAGCCUCUAAGCUUCAGAUUGUAAGGAAUCGUACCCCAAACCGACACAGGUGGUCGGGUAGAGAAUACCAAGGCGCUUGAGAGAACUCGGGUGAAGGAACUAGGCAAAAUGGUACCGUAACUUCGGGAGAAGGUACGCUCUUGAUGGUGAAGUCCCUCGCGGAUGGAGCUGACGAGAGUCGCAGAUACCAGGUGGCUGCAACUGUUUAUUAAAAACACAGCACUGUGCAAAAUCGUAAGAUGACGUAUACGGUGUGACGCCUGCCCGGUGCCGGAAGGUUAAUUGAUGGGGUUAGACUUCGGUCGAAGCUCUUGAUCGAAGCCCCGGUAAACGGCGGCCGUAACUAUAACGGUCCUAAGGUAGCGAAAUUCCUUGUCGGGUAAGUUCCGACCUGCACGAAUGGCGUAAUGAUGGCCACGCUGUCUCCACCCGAGACUCAGUGAAAUUGAAAUCGCUGUGAAGAUGCAGUGUACCCGCGGCUAGACGGAAAGACCCCGUGAACCUUUACUACAGCUUGGCACUGAACAUUGACCCUACAUGUGUAGGAUAGGUGGGAGGCUUUGAAGCACGUACGCCAGUAUGUGUGGAGCCGUCCUUGAAAUACCACCCUUGUAGUGUUGAUGUUCUAACGUCGACCCCUUAUCGGGGUUGCGGACAGUGCCUGGUGGGUAGUUUGACUGGGGCGGUCUCCUCCCAAAGAGUAACGGAGGAGCACGAAGGUGGGCUAAUCACGGUUGGACAUCGUGAGGUUAGUGCAAUGGCAUAAGCCCGCUUGACUGCGAGAAUGACAAUUCGAGCAGGUGCGAAAGCAGGUCAUAGUGAUCCGGUGGUUCUGAAUGGAAGGGCCAUCGCUCAACGGAUAAAAGGUACUCCGGGGAUAACAGGCUGAUACCGCCCAAGAGUUCAUAUCGACGGCGGUGUUUGGCACCUCGAUGUCGGCUCAUCACAUCCUGGGGCUGAAGUCGGUCCCAAGGGUAUGGCUGUUCGCCAUUUAAAGUGGUACGCGAGCUGGGUUUAGAACGUCGUGAGACAGUUCGGUCCCUAUCUGCCGUGGGCGUUGGAAGAUUGAAGGGGGCUGCUCCUAGUACGAGAGGACCGGAGUGGACGAACCUCUGGUGUUCGGGUUGUGUCGCCAGACGCAUUGCCCGGUAGCUAAGUUCGGAAUCGAUAACCGCUGAAAGCAUCUAAGCGGGAAGCGAGCCCUGAGAUGAGUCUUCCCUGAUACUUUAAGUAUCCUAAAGGGUUGUCGGAGACUACGACGUUGAUAGGUCAGGUGUGUAAGUGCUGUGAGGCAUUGAGCUAACUGAUACUAAUUGCCCGUGAGGCUUAACCAUACAACACCCAAGGGGUUU
RNAcentral lists this ribosomal RNA (3636 nucleotides) under Vibrio parahaemolyticus. RNAcentral describes it as "bacterial LSU rRNA". It matches the Rfam family "Bacterial large subunit ribosomal RNA". The record is from RNAcentral. Lineage: Bacteria; Pseudomonadati; Pseudomonadota; Gammaproteobacteria; Vibrionales; Vibrionaceae.